RNAcentral lists this ribosomal RNA (255 nucleotides) under uncultured bacterium. Its description in RNAcentral is "partial 16S ribosomal RNA". It matches the Rfam family "Bacterial small subunit ribosomal RNA", at positions 99 to 354 of the family's 1533-position model. The record is from RNAcentral.
CGGACGGGUGGGUAACGCGUGGAUAACCUGCCUUUCACAGGGGGAUAACAGCUGGAAACGGCUGCUAAUACCGCAUGAGCCUCUUUUGUCGCAUGAGGAGAGAGGGAAAGAGAAAUCGGUGAGAGAUGGAUCCGCGUCCGAUUAGCUAGUUGGAGGGGUAACAGCCCACCAAGGCGACGAUCGGUAGCCGACCUGAGAGGGUGGACGGCCACAUUGGGACUGAGACACGGCCCAAACUCCUACGGAAGGCAGCAG